GUGCCAGCCGCCGCGGUAAUACCGGCAGCUCGAGUGAUGUCCAAUAUUAUUGGGCCUAAAGCGUCCGUAGCUGGCCGCGCAAGUCCGUCGGGAAAUCCACUCGCUCAACGAGUGGGCGUCCGACGGAAACUGCACAGCUUGGGACCGGAAGGCUCGAAGGGUACGUUCGGGGUAGGAGUGAAAUCCCGUAAUCCUGGACGGACCACCGAUGGCGAAAGCACCUUGGAAGGACGGAUCCGACAGUGAGGGACGAAAGCUCGGGUCUCAAACCGGAUUAGAAACCCCAGUAGUCC
RNAcentral lists this ribosomal RNA (293 nucleotides) under uncultured bacterium. RNAcentral's name for it is "partial 16S ribosomal RNA". It matches the Rfam family "Archaeal small subunit ribosomal RNA", at positions 455 to 747 of the family's 1478-position model. The record is from RNAcentral.